Molecule: ribosomal RNA, 478 nt
Filed under: uncultured bacterium
Lineage: Bacteria
Description: partial 16S ribosomal RNA
Rfam family: Bacterial small subunit ribosomal RNA
Source: RNAcentral
GACGAACGCUGGCGGCGUGCUUAACACAUGCAAGUCGAACGGUAAGGCCCUUCGGGGUACACGAGUGGCGAACGGGUGAGUAACACGUGGGUGAUCUGCCCUGCACUUCGGGAUAAGCCUGGGAAACUGGGUCUAAUACCGGAUAGGACCCUGGGAUGCAUGUCCUGGGGUGGAAAGCUUUUGCGGUGUGGGAUGGGCCCGCGGCCUAUCAGCUUGUUGGUGGGGUGAUGGCCCACCAAGGCGACGACGGGUAGACGGCCUGAGAGGGUUACCAGCCACACUGGGACUGAGAUACGGCCCAGACUCCUACGGGAGGGAGCAGUGGGGAAUAUUGCGCAAUGGGCGCAAGCCUGAUGCAGCGACGCCGCGUGCGGGAGGACGGCCUUCGGGUUGUAAACCUCUUUCAGCACCGACGAAGCGCAAGUGACGGUAGGUGCAGAAGAAGGACCGGCCAACUACGUGCCAGCCGCCGCGGUAA